ACGAACGCUGGCGGCGUGCCUAAUACAUGCCAGUCGAGCGGACUUAAAAAGCUUGCUUUUUAAGUUAGCGGCGGACGGGUGAGUAACACGUGGGCAACCUGCCUGUAAGACUGGGAUAACUUCGGGAAACCGGAGCUAAUACCGGAUAAUCCUUUUCUACUCAUGUAGAAAAGCUGAAAGACGGUUUACGCUGUCACUUACAGAUGGGCCCGCGGCGCAUUAGCUAGUUGGUGAGGUAACGGCUCACCAAGGCGACGAUGCGUAGCCGACCUGAGAGGGUGAUCGGCCACACUGGGACUGAGACACGGCCCAGACUCCUACGGGAGGCAGCAGUAGGGAAUCUUCCGCAAUGGACGAAAGUCUGACGGAGCAACGCCGCGUGAGUGAUGAAGGUUUUCGGAUCGUAAAACUCUGUUGUUAGGGAAGAACAAGUACGAGAGUAACUGCUCGUACCUUGACGGUACCUAACCAGAAAGCCACGGCUAACUACGUG
RNAcentral lists this ribosomal RNA (493 nucleotides) under uncultured bacterium. RNAcentral describes it as "partial 16S ribosomal RNA". It matches the Rfam family "Bacterial small subunit ribosomal RNA", at positions 29 to 507 of the family's 1533-position model. The record is from RNAcentral.